CGGGGGUAGCGGGCGGCGGCGCGGGGCCGCCCCCGGCGGGUCGCGGGGAAGGAUGCGCCCCGGGGAGACCCGGGGCAGAGUUGUGGCAGCAGCCGCUCGGGGAGGCCCCUGCCCAGCCGUCCCCCGAGAUCGUGGGGAUGACGGCCGGGGGUAUCGGGCUGCUCGCCGCCAGGCAGCCAGGCGGGAGGGCGGGCGGCCCGUUGGGGUCUGCGGCUGCCGCCCCCCGUCCGGAGCCCCCCUCACGGACUUUCCCUCUCGGGCCCCGGGGCCUUUGAGGCCGGGGGAGCUGCUGUGGGCCCUGCAGAGAAGAACGGGGUGCCGGGGGUGUGGGUCUGCAUGUCUACUUGUGGGGUGCUGGAAGUUGGGAUGCCAUGGGGGCAGGCCGCGGCCCCGCCAGCGGCUAGCGUGCUCCUCAGAGGCACUGAGCAUGCACGGCUCCUGCCAGCUCCCAAAUCAGGCCAUGAUAGAAUCGUAAAUACAUAAUACUCCUCCGAUGUGAUGAGUAGGGAGCAGAAGAGUUAAAUGUGUACAUCGAGGAGAGGCAACUGACAUGUAAAGGGCUUUGCUGUGCAGUUGUUGAGCGAUUCUGAAAUGAAAUAUUUGAAAACCCUUCCAAGAAUAAAUUUAAUUCCCGCACGCUUGUUUCUGGAUCGCCUACUAUGGAAGGAAGUGUGCUGGGUAGCUAGCAACAAUUAGUAGAGUUACAUCUGCUUUUAGCGCACCUGGUGACUUUAUCACUGAUAAAACAGUCAUUGAAAAAAAAUUUGUGUGGGAAAACAUCCAUUCUAUCAAGAUUUUGGAUUUGGACAUUUGUUCUAUGUAAGCAUGAAAGAGGUGGCAUUAGGAAAAAAAUCUGGAGGAAAUAAAGCAAUGCACCUUAGACUAGCCCAGUAGUCAGCGUGUCCCUAAAGUGGAGGCCAAACUUGAACACAGGCCUCCACGUAGGAGGUGAAUACUUCAGCUACCCACAGAGUAGGUACUGUCUACUCACUGCAGGCCUGUAACUAGUAGAUAGUAGGUACUGUCUACUAUCUACUCUCUGCACAGAUGGAGACGAGGCCAAGCUGUGUAUCAGAAACCAAGAAUUGGACCUGAAAACCCUCCCUCACAGUUUCCGUUACUGGCAAAACAUGUAUUUAUCUUGAAAGUUUGCAUUUUGACAUGUCAGUAUUUUUACAAUAUAAAUGAGCUUGAAAUUUUUUUGAUCAGCCUAAUGUUCAGGACCUAUUAGAAGCUGGAGAACAUAUUCACAAUCAAUUCACUUACUCACAUGCAUGAAUACAAGCUUAGAAAAGUAAUUACAGGCACCCGUUUUUGGAAAUCUUGAGGCUGUGUAGUUUCCCCACAGGAAAUAUGAGUAUUAAAUUCCUUAAAAAAAAAAAAUACUGGUAUUUAUUUUUGUCUUUAAUAUUAAAAUUGUUGAUGAAAUAUUCCAGAUAUGGUAAGGUUGGCUUGACGUAAAUCCUUCCUUUUAAUUAUUGUUUAAUACUUGAGGCAGAAAAAAGAAUAUCUUGGUAACUUAAGUGUGGGGUUUUUCAUUGUUACCGUUUGUUUUUACUUUUUAAAUUUUUAGUUGUCUUGCCUAAGAGAAACUUUUUACUUUUUUUGUUAAACUGUUAAACAUGUAAACAUAAAUUUGCAGCCGUAUUACCAAAUAUGGCUAUUCUGAUUGCUCUUCAGCUAAAGGAUGAUGUAUCCGUACACAUUGUAUUAUUCUAUUUUAGCUUUUAAAUCUUUAUUCAGAACAUUAAUUUCUUAAGCUCUAUUGUUACAAAAAGUGAAUUAUACUUUACAUUUUUAGUUGUUUACUUAUGAUUUGUCAAGUUCUGUUCAUAUGAAAACUGACAUUCAGUUAAAAUUUACAUGACAUCAUUUUAAAUUGUUCAUUAAUUAAGACUACCCUAAAUGUUCUUGAUGCAUUUUAAAAGCAUGUUUGUCUUUUAAAAUACUUUAUGAAACAACUGAAAUAAUGACAUGUAGAAAAUGAAUUAAAUUUGAAGCAUGUAGUAGCCAUCACCUUCAUGGUCUUAGAGAAGACAGAUCUUGUCCUUUCUUGCUUAGGUUUAGUUGUAGAUUGACAGAGGAAAAUAGGCAAUUUUUUUCUAGUCUUACGUUGAUGUUUCAGCUUUGAGUUAAAUAGUUCUUAACUGAACUUCUUGCAUGGCUUGAAACAAAGACACUUACUCUGCCUAUAGAAGACACUGCAGCUCUCAGAAAUUGCUCUCCUGCAUCAUUUAAAUCCUGUUCCAUACGCUUAGCCAGUGGCUUCAGUCAAUUCACUGGCAUCACCAUCAAAACUUCAGCAGCAAACGCCUCUUUUGAUUGACUAUCUGAACUCACUUCAGUACAUGACAGCAAGAUCUAAAUUACCUCCAGUAUCACAUGUAAUUGGAAGAGAUGCAGAUGUAUAUAUAGGGGGGAGAAGGUUGAUUUUUUUAAAAAUAUUAAAUUCUGGGGGGAAAUAUGAUGGAAUAAUGGUGUCCAUUUAGGACAGUACUUCUAAUGGUAUCUUGAUCAAAUUCAAGGGAUAGUAAUGCAAAGAACCCCUUUAAGGUUCUCUUUUCAACUUUAGGGUUUUAUUCAACUAUUUAUAGUUGCCUUUGAUUGUACAAACAGAAUGUUACUUUAAGGUGGGCAAAUGAAGUUCAGGAGAACACUGGGGAAGGCAGAAAUGGAUAGUAAAGAUAGCCCUGUAUAACAGCACAUCUCUUUAUUUCUGCUAAAUAUUUGUAUUUCAUUUGGGACUUUGGUCAUUGUUAAUUCUUUAUAAGUAGUUUAAUUUAAAUCCAUACUUCAAAACCACCCAUUUUUCAGUGGGUGAACGGAUCAUACCUACUUCAGGAUUUUUUUUAUGUUUCUCAAAUAGUUUGAUUUUUACAGAUAUGGGGCCAGCAGACUUCUGUCAGCACAGCAUCACUGCAGAGGAGGAACGGUAGACCACUGCUGAGUGGCAUUCUCUAGCUCUGAAAUCUUCAAUCAUCUCUUGUGUUAUCUGGUAUCCUCUGUGCUUGACAUGUCAGACUUCCUGCACGUGCGCUGCAAAGCUAGUCUACACAUACGCGCUAUGCCGAUACCUCCUAGACUAGUCUGAUUUAGGAUCCCACAAUGUUCCUCUGACGGAUCAGGUUUAAUGCAUAUGUGCAAGUACAGCUGAUCUACACAUUCAGUGUGGUCCUAGCCUGGACUCUUGACUAUUCUGCAUGCAAGUAAGUGUACAUGCACCCUGGUGCUUUGCUCUAUGGCCAUAAAACCUGGACAAAUAAAGAAGACCAUCAAGUUGUGCCUGCACAUGAUUACCACGUAGAGGAAAUGACAUAUGUAAGAAGCCUUAUCUAUAAAUUAGCCUUAUUACUUCAUUCUCCACCAAUGGAGAGAUCUGUUACUUGGGCAGUAGAACUUCGUUGUUAAUGUACACACACAAAAAAGUUUGUUUUUUUGUCCCCCCGUUUCUCUUUCCCAGAGAAAUUUAAAACUGGGUCUGAUGCAUGACUAAUAUUCUAUUGUCAUUUCUUUAGUGGAGGUCAUUAAUAUGCAUUAUGUUUUUCAUCUAAUAUUAUAUACAUUAUUUCAUAAUAUUAAAUGUAUUAGUCAAAUCAUUCUUAUUCAUAUGUAGUUUUCCAGUAAACCUCAGUGAUCUUUCAAUUGUGGCGAGGUAUUCCCUCCCACGCCUCCUAAAAUACAGAACUGCAGUAUUCUGCCUAUGGGGAAAAAGCCUGAAGCCACAUGGUGGUGUAUCUGUUCAACACUGUGAAAGAGAAUUUCCCUAUUCACAGUCUUGCACAGUCAACAUGACCUGCUGGUAAAUUUUAAGUUGCCUGACACCAUGAUUAAAACCCUCUUUUUUUUUUUUGCAUUAUGUUGUUUGAUGAAAUGGAGGAGACAAAAGACUCGAAUGUUUGCAUACCAAUCAAACAAUUGCACGUUGAUCAAUUCUACAGGCUUUUCAUAUUCUUAAAAAUGUAGUAAUACUAUAGAUACUGUAGGACCUUUUAAUUUCUCCAUUACAAGUGAAAUGAAAGGCUGAAGUCCAGAAUCCCAAAUGCAGAGUACUUUUCAAAUGAAGGGGACUGGGCAGAAGGCUGUGAGAAGGUGAAGUGAGAGAGAUGCAUAAAAGAAACUUCAUUUCAAAAAGAUAGCCUUUUUAACCAAAGAGAUUUAGCUGCACUCAGCCAGAAAUAUUUUCUGGAUUGUCAUUCCCACUUUGCAAUGAACAAGUAUCAGUAUGAUUUCUUGAUGUGUUUAAUUAUGUGAAGUAUGAAAUCAAGUAGGUACAUCCAACAGCUACAGAAAAAUGACAAGACAUAAUUUCAGACAAGCCAGCAUUGUUUUAUCCCAAAGAUGCCAAAAAUGGCUUCAGAAUUAUAUUCAGCUUUUAAUUAAGACAAAUGAGAGAUGUCACAAAUCAUCCAUUGUAUGGGUCACAUCAAAAGCACGUAAGUACUGUAGAAUUUCUUCUUUCUUGAUGUAGUUCCCAGUUGCAUUUUCCUGGAGCCUUCCUUUAAGUUUAAUACUGUGCUGGAUGCUGGAGUGCUACAAAUAACCUUAAAGCCUGGACAGAAGUUGCCUGUAUUAUUAAUAGUAAAAUGAAAUAAGUCUGCAUUCUCCUAUAUUAAAAAGAGAAAAUUAAGCAAAGUGAAUAAAAACAAAAACAAAAAGCGUAAUAUUUUGAAAGAUUAGGAGUUAUAUAUUUGGAACAGCUCUAAAGAUUACUUUCUUUUCCAUGCUAUAAAUCAAAAAAUGUAACUGAGAUGCCAUCUCUAGUGAUGAAAGGUAUUUUGUUGUUUUUUUUGCAAGUGAUAUGUACUCUUCAGCUCAGGGGAAAAAGUCCAUUUCCAAAUUACUUUUAACAACAAUCCAGUGGUCAUAUUUGUGCUUCUAUUUUAGGAACAUAGAUCCCUUUUAUAGACACUAAACAUGGUUUACUAGUGGAUUUUUUCAUUUAUUAUAACUGUUUCAUGUAGUGUCUUUCAUGUAAACAUUAUAAAAGGAAUUUACUGUUGGAUGUAGAAGUUGGGGUUUGGGUUUUUUUGCCCUUUGUUCUUGUUUUGUAUGUUAUUUCUUUGGAGAACUCUUUUUUCUCCCCUUUCAGGAAAUUUCACAUAAUCUUUUCCAUUCGUCAUCAGCCAGGUUGCUGAUUACCAGAGUAACUGCCAAGCUUUCAACUCCUUGUCAUCAAUGGGCUGUGAAUGACAGACAGCAUUAAUGUUGGCAAGCUCCCACUCUCCUUUUCGCCUUUCCCAAAUGUAAUUAAACUGCACUAAUACAGCAAAAGAAGAGCUGCAGCUUUAUUUUACUCACCCUAAUAAUUAAAUCACAGAAGCACACAAUGGAGUCAAAUAAACCCAUCAUGGCACAGAAAUUCAGAGGGGACAGCUGGAUAAAGGACAGAAAAGAUGUAAUAUACAGUUUGAAUGACACACAACUUACCCACCAGAACAAGAAGGCAUUAUCCUGAUCACGGAGGAAGUCCUGAGCUUUUGGUUUAAAGACUGGGGGUGUCAGAGGAUAACCAGGAGUGAGGAAGAAGGAGAAAAGAGAGUCCUCACUUCACCUGCAGAGGAUGACAGAGGCUUGUAGAAUGCACACUUAUCACUGAACAUUUCUGGGAUAGAUAACUUACCACCAAAUUAAUUUUUGUAUGUUUCUCAGGACUGAGGUGAGUGAAAUGAAGUUACAGGCCUGCAGGAAUGCAAUGGAAUUUGCCCAUAAAGCUGUCCCCCAUUGCUCUAGGAUGGCAAGCAGGCGCUCAUAAGGAGGCUGAGAACUGACUGCCAUGAGCACUGUAAACACAGCUUUGUGGCCAGUAUACACGCUGGAAAAGGGAUGGUAGUCUCAUUUUUCGAGCUAUCAAAAAUAGUACAGUUGGCUUGUAAGACCAAGUUUACAGUAAUGCAAAUAAAUAGUUUGAAAAAAUGCAGACAAAAAAAAAAAAAAAAAAAAAGGAAAGAUUAUUGUUACACAGCUAGCCAGAAAACAGGGACACCAUCCUUAGGGAAAGCAUGGAAGAGCCAGAACCCACUGCCAGCAUAUACUUGAGAAAUAAGAAUGGGAGCUUGGUUACUGACCAAAGUAGACAUAGCUUCAAAAAUGACAAUUAAUAGGCCAGCUUGGCUGUGCAGACUCUAAAUGAGUGUUUCCUUGUGCAGUUUUGGUGACUAAAUUUUAGUCAACUGGUAGUUGACAGGUGGUACCCUGUAAAUCCAGCCUGUGCCAAAUUCAUUCAAGAUCUGUUAGUGUGGAGCAAGUAAUUUACCAGUGUGAACAAACUGUUCUGUAACAAUAAACGUAGUUUAAUAUUAUGGUAGUCUUCCAGAGGAAGAAACCUUUGGUUGAAACUUUUAGAUAAAGUUUGCAGGAGGAUCUGAUAUGUUAGGUUUUCAGUAGUUCUGAAGCAGGAGAAAAUUUUUAUGUUUGAUAAUGUAGCUAAUGUGUAGUGAACAGUAAAAAGGAAAAAAAAAGUGACACAAUAUGUAAAAAUGUAAAACCACUGGUGUAAAUGAAUCGUGUACAGGAGGAACACUAAAGGGAUGAAGUUGAAGGUUUGUUUCUGUUAGAUUUAUUUUGAUAUAGUGAUUCAUGGAAGAACUCUACAACUCAAACCAAAUCAGUUAUAAAGCAGGUAUGUGGUUUGUUUUGGCACCAGGAACAUGCAGGAUAGCUCCCAAAGGCAUGAGCGCCCUAACACGGCAACUUGCUAUGGUUAUAUGCAGUAAAGUGUUACAUAUGCAUGAAGUUUCCCAAUAUGCCGAUACAUAUGCAUAACCUAUCCCCGAUUUGUAUUGAAGUUAGCUCCAAGAAGUCAUUUCCAUAAACUCCUUCUGUCUGCACUUGCGCAGGUGGUGGUCGUCGGGGGGGGGGGAGGUUGUGGGAAGAAGGUUGAUAACUCUUCUUCAUCACCACUAGUUGACCCCCUGCCUUUGUACAGACCUAGCUGCUCCUUGGCUCUUGUCCAAACCACAAGGUUGGUCUCAGCUGGUUUUUGAGACAGGUUCCUCAUUUGUGUCAGGAAGCAUCCUCUGUGAGGGGCCACGAGACUCAUUGUUUCAGUUAAUUUGCAUAGUAGUAAGCAAAGACACUUAGCAAUAUCUAUUUUAAUGUGAUUAAGCAAACCCCCAUUCUUCCAUUCCUGGCUUUAAUAAGUACAAUUGUUUUAUUUAGAAAUCAUUAAUGCGAUUAGGCAAGCCCCUAUUUUUCUAUCCCUGGCUUCAAUAGUACCUGGUUUGAUAUUGCCCCAAAGACCUUUUGGAUAAACAUCAUGACUUUCUCUUUGAUUCAGGAAGGACGGAGGCUGCAGUAUUCCGAGGCUAUCAAAGGGAGAACCAGCACCUCAAACAUCCACCUCAUAUGUUUAUAACAUCAAGCAAAGAAAGAAGAAGCCACAAAGGACAUCGAAAAACAGAAGAGCAUAAAUAAGUCUUCAACUGUUCUUGUGCAUCAACAAUAAUUCUUGUAAGAGAAAAAAAUGAAGGCAGAUUUGGUUCUUGUGUAGAAACUACCUUGAACACUUUAAAAGGCUUCCUCUGAGUCACUAUGAAUAGUGAUGAUUCCCCAGACCCUGUAACAGUUUUAUCUGAUUUUUCAGACUGAAUAUUAAGCAAAGAUUGGCAAUAGAAAAUGGCCCAGAAGAUGAGAAAAAUGCUAUUAUUGAAGACAAAGUGUGUGGCACUUCAACAUGAUGGCCUUUAAUUUUCAUAGUGGGCAGUUACGCAAGAGAGACCACCAGAGAAGGCUUUGGUCCAGAACUCCUACCAGCCUGUUCUCUACACCUAGUUAAUAUACUGGUCUUAUGCUAAUAUCUUCGAACAAAAUUAGAUACGUUUACAAAUAUAGGCUGGGAUCAACCUAAGGCUGCUGGUUUGAAACUGUACCCAAAGCCAUAGGAAUUGGUUUAAAACAAUGAGUUUAGCUCUGGUGCGCAGAGCUGUGAGGAGAGAAAUUCCACUCUUAAGAUCUUUCAACACCAGCCAGCUCCCCAGAGACUCCCAGAUGUGCAGUUUUGUGGGACUUUAAUCCUACUCGAGGAAGUUUAUUUGUGCAUUUCACAAUAUUACAUGUCAUUUGCAUAAAAAUGUUAGGAAAAGAAUGUUAUUUCAGUGGUCAGUGUGUGAUUUAGUAAACAAAGAUGAAAAGGUUCUUCUGACUUUUUCUGUGUUAAACUGCCUGGGCUUCAAACCCCCUUUUCAAUUAGACAAAAAUGCUGGUGUUUAUGGACUAGGUAUUGAUACAGGAAUGCAAAUGACUUCACAGGAUGACAGUUUAUUAUAAGUCAAUGGCUGAACUCUCCUGGGAAAAAUUACUAGAUGCUCUGCCAGUGAUUAAAACUAUGGAACAUUUUCACAACUGUUUGUAUAGAAAGAAGCUUGUGAUUGGAACAGACUGGGCAAUCCCAGAAUUGGCUCUUUGGAUUUGAAACCAGAGGGGCAAUUCCUUUUAACCACAGAUUGGAAAAACUGCAGUGCUACGGUUUUGUAGUAGCCCAAAAGCAUUGGUUCAGGCUUAAUGUUGAUUGCUAUUGAUAUUUUGUCCAGAUAGGUUUAUUGUGAGAUUGAUUCCAAAUGCCAGUCUAAACAAGCAAGGAGCAAAGAACUGAUUGCUCAGGGGAAUGAGCGUGUUUGGGAAGAGAUGAUUGUUUCCUCCCUUCCUAUAUCUUGCAGCAGUUCAAAUCCAGUAAAACAGUGGCUACAAUUAUUCUCAAGAAACCAAGUCAUUCCCAUGGCAAGAACCUGGUAUCAGAGCACUGUGCAACUGGUAACAGCUAUCUUGAAAUACAGUCUCUCCCUUAGUUUACCUCAGUGAGAACUCUCUGUUCACACUGUGAUGGCUUGGGGUUUGAAAUGCAAUUUGGUAAAGAAGAUGGAAAGAAAGCAGUAGGUGAUAAGCUUUAUUGGCUGGUUUUAGAUCAACGGAAAAAGAAGGCUGUAGUGUAAUGUCAUCAUUUGAAAAUGGCUGGAGGUUUGAUAAUGGUUGAGGGGUUACAACAUGGUACAAUUUCUAUUACAAAAGUUACACAAUAGAUGUAGAAAAAGUGUCCAGGAAACAAGUAACAAGGAAAAUCUCUGGGAGGCAAUAUUUUGCCAAGCAGAUCACAUGAAUAAGUACACAUGAAUAAGGAGUAGCAAUUUUUAUUUGAUUGGGGUUUUUUAAACUGGUUCACAACAUAACAACCAUUGUUUGGGAAGGCAUUAUGAGGGCCCUGCAUGCAGUAAUAAGUCUUAAUGACCCUGACUAGCUUCACCUGUGGUCUCCACCCCACACUCAUGGAGCCAGGAGCUCUAUUUAAGCUAAGCUUUGGGCAUUCAGCUCUUGUAUGAGCUAUAUUGGAGCAGUGGCAGGUCACAGGCAUGCUGGGGAGCUGCUUGCUCUGUGCCUUAAUUUAUGUGCUGCCUUGAUUAGGGGUCUGUUUUUUCUACGCGGGCCUGCCUAGUCAUCGCUGGAUGUGAUUUUAGCCCUGACCUAUAGGAACACUUUCUAGCUGGACUUUAGACCUGCUUCACCACCAUAAUAGUGCCUUUAAAAUCUUUUUUUUUUUUUUUUUUUGGGGGGGGGGGAGGGGGGACCUGGCCACUGUCUCUGGAUUUGCCCUGCAAAAUUGUCCUUUAGGUACUGUGGGUUGGGCUCUGGUUAAUCUGGUUAAUGAGGUCACUGCACUGGUGGCACUGGGAUCCCCACUGGCUUGUGGCUCACCUCCCUUUGGAGAACAGCCCUGCUCUGCUUCUCCCUGGCAGACAUGAAGUGGAACAGACUGUAGCAGAGAAAAUGAUUUAGAUUUGGAAUUUGGGGGUGAGAUAUACAUGGGUCAGGGAAGAAAUUAUGAAUCAUGUGUUUCUGUAGACUUGUAGAACUACAGGAAAUCUAUUAAGUAACUACCAUUUCAGUGAACAAAUUUAUGAUAAGAUAGCAGAGAAAAUCAGACUUGAUGCUGGCUUUCUUAUCCCUUACAGGCACAAAUUAACAUUUUUUUAUUCCUUCUAAAUUAGUAAGAAGUGCAGGCUCCUUAUCCUUGGGGGUUAGAGAUUUCUGCAAGUCUUCUGCCUGGUGUUCCUGUAGACUAACAGUUCUUUUGGUCACUUAGAAGCUUUGAGUUGCAAAAUGGGAAACCAAAGUGUCACAUGCUUCCUGGGUUAUAUCUGAAGGCAGCUUUGGAUAACUGGGACUAAGUAAUAGUAAUGAUUUUACUAUGUGAGCCAGGAGUAGUACUUCCCCAGACUGGGGGUUGUGCUGGGACAAGGCCUGGAUUACACCAGCUCUUCUACAUAACCAUUUUCAUUCAGAGAUUCAAAGGAAGCUUAGGCACAUGGACUAGGAUGGAAUCCCCCAACUGGAGAGAUGGGGACUGCCGGGUGGGCUAUAGAUAAGACUUUUUAAGUAGCAACAGUACUGCUGAAACAAAGAUCAUUUGUUAGAUACCUCUCAAGUGCUGUUCAGUUUCUGAUCUAAGGUAGUUCCUGAGUUUCUGGCAAAAUUGUAGACUAUUUUGUCCUCCCUACAGAGUAAAUCACAGAUGGAACUACUUGGAACUGGGAGUUUGAGUCUCUAUUGAUGCUUUGUGAAGUCAAUGCUUGUUUUAGCUGUGGUAAUCACUGAGCAGCUGAAUGGUUUGGGGAACCAAACCAUUUGGGGUUCAGAAAAAAUCCUGAAAAUAUCUCUCUUUAAUUUGACUUGGACUGAAAUCAAAUCCUAAAAGUCCAUUUAAACUUCUACUGAACCACAAAUCCUGCAUUUGGACCAGAUCUAUUGGAAAACUUAAACUGAAUAAACCUUGGGUAGGUCUGUAUGUAAAACUGAUGUGAAUACAAACAAUGUCAUUGAAGAUAAUUUGGGGGUCAGUCUUUGAAAUAACUUAUCUGUUGUGCCCAACUGAGGGUAUUUUCAGGGUUAAGAUUAUCUCCUUCCCUUUCUACCAACAGAAAAUGGAGAGAAUACCUGUCAGCCUCAAAAUUGCAAAAGCUGCUUGUAUCCAGUAGGAUACAAUGCAUGGGGUGUGUCAGCUAGCAACUUCUACCCACACAACAGAUGCUGUUCAGGGGCCCAUUGUGAGAGAUGCCUCCAAGGAGCCUGAAAAAAACUGCAUAAGGAGUGGAAAGCUCCCAAAAGAGAUGCAAUGAGGUGUAAUUGGUUUGGAGUAGCACAUGGGAACAUCGGAAUAGAAAGACAGGAUAGUCUCUUAAUUAUAUAAUUUAUCUUUCUUCUAUGAAGACUCUCUUAUUUCCUUUUGGAGGUAGCUUGAAGGUGUCACACUAUCCUAAACAGCAGUGAUGAGUAAAUAAGUUAGUGAGAUGUGGUUAUGUACCACCUUGAUUAUUAUCCUAAUUACUGUCUCUUACUUCUGUAAGUUGUAAGAAGCCGUAAAACUUCCUCGUGAAAUUGCAACAGGUGAUGGAACUUCAAAAUUCAAUGUCCAGAGCCAAAGAUAUAAAAAGCUGCUCAGGAAUUCACAAUCUGCAGCCACAGUCUUCCAUGGGAAUCCCUUUGAAAGGAGUGCUGUAUGUGUGUGUGAAAAGUAUAGAAGAGAAAGCUUAAGUGUAGAAUGAACAAGCACUGGGACUCUGGUUCUUUCAAAAAGCUAAAGGAGCAUUUUUCAGCUGAAUACUGUUCCAUAUGACUGAGUUGUGAACUGAGACAGUCUCUUCCUAUUUGAGUCCUUUUUUUGUUCAAGCAAAUGGGAUGACAUCAGGAAAACAGCUGACUCCACCAAACAGUUUCUGCUCCUAACUGGAACAACCUGCAAUGCCCAGAGUGGUGACUCAGCAGGUAAGAGGGGUCAUAACAUGUGUUAAUUGCCAGGAUAGUUAUGAUGUCUUAGAAAAUAAUUUUUAUCCUCUGUUCAUCACAUGGAUCCAGUCUUGUCAUUUGUGAACUAAAAUCUGGGCAGGAUUACUGGCACAAUGAGAAGUGGAUCCAUACCAUAAAUGUAAGGGACUGGGACAAACAGAGGCAAGUCCACAGUAGGAACAGUAUUGUUCGGUGCCAAAAAAAAGUGUGAAAGAUGAUACUAUUAUCUUAGAAAAAAGAAAUCUUAUGCCAGUGAUGUUAGAACCUCAGAAAUAAUGUGUCAAAGACGUUGGAACAUUUAGAAUACAAUCUCUUACUGUUCCAAUGUCAUCAACAUGUUGUUCUCACCAUUUUCUAUGACAAGUGAAUUUACUGAGUCAAUUUGUCUUCAACAUGUUAAAUGUACUAUGUGUAGGCAGGUAAGCUAACCUUAUUUAUAUAGUAUAACAAGGGAGAAUGCUAACUACACUCACUUUUGCACUUUUGAAAACUGUUUUCUAAGAGAAAAUACUACACAUCCAUUUUCAGAGCUGCGCUUUUCUCACACCUGACCUAGUGUUUCUCAAGAGAAUUGCUUCAACAAAGAGGGGGAUAAUUCUACCUGUGGUGUUGAAGUGAAAAUUUUGGUUGGCUCAUUACUCUGCUUGAACUGCUCUCGCACCAGAUAUUCCUUCAUCUUUCCUAAAAAAAAAAGUUCUCUAAAAGUAAGACCCUGAAAUGUCUGUCCCCCCUUCUGCUUCAUGCAUUACUUUAGUAUUUCUAGGUCUACCUUUUUAAUUUAUUAUUUUUUUUUUUUUCCCCACUAAUUGCUUUUCUUGAUUUGCUGGGGUAAUUUCUCUUCUUUCUCUGCCUCUGUUAUUUUUUUUUUUCUCUGCCUUUUUUUUUGUUUGUUUUGUUUUCCCCUGGUAUAGAUAGAUCAAAUGAACUCUCAACCUUUUGCAUUUCCUUCAUCCUUAAUCCUGGCUAUUUUAAAUCUGCUGUGUGCUCCCAGGGGUCUCAGUUAUCCAGCCAGCUCCUUCUGACUUGGUUGCCUUUUUUUUUUUUUUGUCACUGGUAUAACCUGUGCCAUAGGUCAUCCCUCUCCAUCACUGCACACAGACCACUUGCUACUGGCACUCAGGUCUGGGUGGAAAUUGGGCUGGUUUGUGUCAAUUCCUCAUCUUAUUGCAAUCUCCUAAGACUCCAGCUCUCCAAGAGUUUUGUACCUGACUGAGGUGGUACUACUGUGAGUGGCUCUUCCUUUCAUGUCCUCUUUUCCACUUGGUGGCUCCCUGUCAUUUCAGUGUUCUCCCUAUUCCCUUUAUACUUUUACUACAUAUCUGUUCCCUAUACAUACAACUGUGAUUGUGACUGUAUUCCUUUGCAUAUGUUCCCUGACAAUCUCUUGCAAUCAAUUUGAGAUCAGCAGUUGCCUAUUUGAAAUCUUGCCCUGAAUAUCUGACUUAAAUACAUGCUCUUCACCUUCUUCAUCUUUUGCUUUUUCAUUUUUCUCAACAAAAUUCUCUCUAUUCUCAGAGCAGGUAAUUCCUGCUUUCAUCUUUUUAAUUUGCUAUGUUUUUAAAUAUCUUUGUCAUUUCUACUUUUUAAAUGGCUGUUGAUCGAUAUCCAAUACAUACAUUUUAGCAAAGUGAUCAUCCCAUGCAACUAAAAUUUCAUAGCAGCACUUUCCCUGCUAGCAAAGGUGGGCUUGGUAGUGUUUAUAGGCGAUUAAUGGCUCCUCAAGUUAAGUGCCUUUCUGUUUCUGAAAGGAAAGCCAUAUGUCUGACUUUCUCCCCUCCAAGGAGGGGUGAUAUAGCUGCUUUUGCCAGUCAUAUGAAAGAUAUCAUAUGCAGAGGCAGGAUCGAAACUAGUGCAAGGGGUUUACAACUUAAGAACCAUUGUCUGGUCCCUCAUCCUUUUGCUUCCCAUGCUACCAAGUACUGUGUCAAAUUUCCUUCUCUUGCUCAAGUAGUGGUCCUUGCAAUACUGUAUCUCUUGUCAUAGUUAUUACAGUAGGUCCUUCUUCAACAACUAUAAAGUCACCUCACUUAUGCAAGUUAAGCCAUACAAAGCCACAAUUCUUGCAUGCUAAUGUCACAGUCCAGCAUCUUUUUCCCUUCCAGAUUUAAAUCACUGCAUUAGCUUUUUACCUCAUUCCACAUGAAGCAGAAACUCACUGCUGUUAAUUUUCAGACACUUGGUACUUCUGUCUACUGAUGUAUGUCAGUUUGAACCCAGCAGACACACUACUUUUACAAAAUAGUAGGGACCAUCUAUAUUCCCUGCUACCCUUUCUUUAAGCAAACCCAUGUGCCUAGAACAUUGUGCUGGAUGUUGUGCCCUGCAGCCUCACUUUUAUUCUCAUGUCCCUCCUCAGUUCCAUUCCGGUAUCCUCUCCUUUCUUCUGAAUUUUGCCAUUUGUAAUACUAAAUGUCCAAAAAUAUUGCUCCUUAAAUAUCAAAACUGAAGUGCUGUGGUGCUUUAUGGAGAUGUACAUCUCAUUAUUCAUUGCCUGGUGUCUAAGGAAGAGCAAUCUUUGACACAAACUUUUUUCAUGGUUGAGAUAUUUGUAUAGUCAUUCUCUCACAUGGAUACUUCAUGUCUAAAAAGAUCUUAAUCUAUAUGACACUCUUCCUCAGCAGUGGCAAUAGUAGGGUUUCUGGCCACUAGAACUCACUAGAGUUCUACUCUUCAGUUUGGAACCCUUGCUGUCUAGACAACUUAGGUAAAACCUGCUAGUGACUUGUAGAGGUAUUUUCUGAGGGACAUUUGUGUGUGCAUACUGAGAACAUGACUGCACAAGUAAAAAGCCUAGAAAGAAUCUUCCAGUGUUCGUAGGCACUGUAUUAAUCUCAAGCUCAUAUAACAGCAGACAUUGUUGGUUAUUUUCUCUCACAGUUAUCCUGUAAUUACUGGUAAUGUUGCUUCACUUCACUUUAAGGCAUUAUACUUUCUUCUAUAGGCAUCCCCUUGAUUAAGUUUACUUAGGUAUAAGGUUAUAGGUGGUACCUGUUUCCUGUUGUUCAGACCAUCACCUGUCAAAGUAAGUUUUCUACAAAGAAAAUAGUGUAUGUAUCCUUUGAACAUGCUAAAUCAUGUAUGUGAACUACCCUCAAGAAGUUCUACUGGAUGUGAAGAUUUCGUAGCUUGAUAUAAAGGAUUUGUGAAAAUAGCUCUGUGUCUAUGCAUAUAGAGGGAGACGCUUGAUACUUCUCUCAGUUUUAAUGUUUUUGUUGAAAUAAAAUUUGUUAUUGUAUGUGAUACUGUA
Long non-coding RNA from Anas platyrhynchos (mallard), 15019 nucleotides. RefSeq lists it as uncharacterized. The record is from RefSeq and is a predicted model, not a curated record. Lineage: Eukaryota; Metazoa; Chordata; Aves; Anseriformes; Anatidae.